This 522-nucleotide unclassified non-coding RNA is filed under the name Hevea brasiliensis (rubber tree). Lineage: Eukaryota; Viridiplantae; Streptophyta; Magnoliopsida; Malpighiales; Euphorbiaceae. The record is from RNAcentral.
CAAAAAAGAACUCGAGCAUUAGGCAACUAACUGACAUGGUUAAACCAAAGAAAUCGCACCAAAGAAAUCGCAAACACUUGUGCAGUGAACUAUACCAUCAUUUUAGCCUUACUUGAUCUCACAAGACAAAGUUACAAUAAUAAUAACCUUCAAAUGCAUAAAACAAGAGAAGAAAGUAGAAGUUUAUUAAAUGCAUGGUCAAAAGAGGUAUUAUAGCAGCCUCAAGCAUGGUAAUUAUGUGGAGGUUUGAUGAGGAACUAUAGAUUAAGUCAAAUUUUUUCACACAAACAAAUGUAAUUAUAUUAUUAUAGAAGAAGAAGCACCUAGCUUGAGCGUGUUUUACUACAUGUUUAAAAGUUUGAACUGAAGUCAACUCAUUUAAACAUGUAAUUGUACAGUAGCCUAUAUAUUUUAUGCUAAACAUGCUAACAAUAUCCCAAAAUUUUGAAUUUAAAUCCAUAAUCCAUACAUUCUGCCAAUGCCAGAAAUAUGAGACAUAUAAGAUUCUGACACUGAAAAAAU